CCUACGGGAGGCUGCAGUGGGGAAUAUUGGACAAUGGGGGAAACCCUGAUCCAGCGACGCCGCGUGGGUGAAGAAGGCCUGCGGGUUGUAAAGCCCUUUCGAUGGGGAAGCGUAACCCAUAAAAGAAGCACCGGCUAACUCUGUGCCAGCAGCCGCGGUAAUACAGAGGGUGCGAGCGUUAAUCGGAAUUACUGGGCGUAAAGCGCGCGUAGGCGGCUUUGCAAGUCGAGUGUGAAAUCCCCGGGCUCAACCUGGGAACUGCAUUCGAGACUGCAUUGCUAGAGUAUGGGAGAGGGAAGUGGAAUUUCGGUGUAGCGGUGAAAUGCGUAGAUAUCUGAAGGAACAUCAGUGGCGAAAGCGACUUCCUGGACCAUCUGACGCUCAAGUGCGAAAGCGUGGGGAGCAAACAGGAUUAGAUACCCUUGUAGUC
Molecule: ribosomal RNA, 430 nt
Filed under: uncultured bacterium
Lineage: Bacteria
Description: partial 16S ribosomal RNA
Rfam family: Bacterial small subunit ribosomal RNA
Source: RNAcentral